CAAAUAAUGGAACUUCACAAAAAAUUACAUCUACAACCAUUUUUACUCUGUUACAAGAAACAUGGAAAACAAUAUAAAAUUUAGCUAUAUACAUAGCUGCAUACAUGCACACAGCCUCAGUUCUGAGUUCUGACAGUCUAACCUUUGUGGGGAUGGAAGUCAUGUAUGUUAAUGAUACAGCCUGUUCUAGAAGUGAUUCCCAUGACCAAUAGGGUUGAAAUGAUGAGGAUUAAGAUCACUAGCUAAACUCAGAUUUCCCAUAUCCAUAAACUGCACAAGUGGACAAUAUUGAUUUUUCAUCUGUUCUGUCUGGAUGAUUGUUUCUUGAUGUCAAACAACCUUAUGUACUGUGUUCAACUUUGGAUAUCUUCAUAUAUUUAUCUUUGGAAGCUCAGGUCCAAUGUCAACAAUAUGUUCUUCGUGGUGAGCAAACAAUGCCUGCAUAUAUGAAUUCUCUUAAUACAAAAAAUCAAGGAAACCCCUUCAUACAAACUUCAAUCAAUCAUUACAAAUUACCUCACUAACAAUUUAGAAAUACGGUACCUUAGUAAUUACUAACGCUCCUACAAUAAUUCUUCGAAAGCAUAUACUGGGAAAAGUCAUAUGUUGGCUUUAUAUAAAAAGGACGCAAAGGAAAACUGACAGAGUACUCAAGUUAAAGAUAAAUUCGUUCAGAUAGCAAGCAUCAUUUUUUCCGCCUCUAUGGAUCAAGUAAAUUUUCAAGCACUUUUAUGAAUAACGUAUAAAGAAAUUCAUAGUGCCUACACAGAGAUGUAGCUUUUGUUUGUCGGAAAUAAAUCUCCUUUUUGCAUAGACGGGUUUCACUAAUCGUUCCAAUUGACCACAGAUGGUGUUAAGUUGUGCAAUUUUCUUUCGUACACCAAAUUAUUUUCUAAGUACUAACUUGGGGACACAUCACCAGCAAUAUAGUUUUUCAGUAUUUACUACGCAGGAAGCUAAGAAAAUUAACUGCAAAGACUGUAACGACAUCUCCAACAAAUUUUCCAUGUAUCUCUAGCAAAUAACUUGGAACCCCAAGUGUAUUAUGACCAUUAUAUAGAUUGUAAACAUAAGUCAUGGAACCAGAUCUGAAAGGCUAUGUUUCAUAAACGACUAUUCAAUUACAGUCCACCAUCCAAAUUGGUUGUACUUAAAUUCUAAUCCUGACAAAGAUAUCUCAAUGCUCAAAUUCCACAGAUUGUUAUUAAAGCACUAAAACGUCACCACUACAAAAGUAAGUCUUAUUUUUGAGAUUGGCAAAAUAUAUAGAUGCAUAUCUAAAUUCUUUAACAGAGUUUAAUUACUAAGACCGCUGUUGUUUACAUACCUGUUAAGGAUACACAAGUUCGUCCAGGGAUCGAGUAGUAAGCAUUCAUGGAGUUGAUAUCCGUGGGUGGCCUAUGUAUUAAGUCCACUUAUGGGGUAUUAUGGGGAGGGGAAUCCUAGCUAGAAUUGAAAACUUAACACCACAUAUUUCUCUAUCGGUAAUGGAAGCAGAUGAAGUUUUGGGAGGAUAAGUGGUGUGCAGAAAAUCCUAUUAACAAGAUACUUUGAUUGCAACCUUCUAUGAUAGAUCUAUAGAGUAACUGCCAAACACUAAUGAACACCUGAUCAGAAAUGGAAAUUCUUGGCACUGGACUCUUGACACAGGGAGGAUAUUAAUCAAAUUUCUACCCUUGUAGGCUUGGUGACUGAGGUGCAGAUUACUGAAGAGGACGUUAAAGGAAGAUGUAAUCUUAGUCCGAGUAGGAGCAUCUCAACUAGUUCCUUCUAUAUUACAGGGCGCCAUUGUCAAUGUGACGGUGACCAAGGAGACUGCCUUCCCUAGAAAAGUCGUUUACAGAAUUCGUUUCCCUUUUAAAUAAAGAUUGGCUAAACUAUCGAGUUAUGUAACAAAGUAGGGUCGAAUUCCUAACUUAUGCAACCAACUAAAUUAGGUUUAAAAUCAUCAGCAAACUUUUAAGUUUUUGCAAUUUAGGCAAUGCCGUUAACAAUCCCUUAACAGACGUUAGAUUUUGCUGACUGUAUUGUUUUUUUUAUUUUUUAUUGCUGACUGUGUAAUAAAUUAUUGUUGACUGUAUUUUUUUAAUUUUUUUUACUAUUGACUGUGUAAUAAUUAUUGCUGACUGUGUAAAGUAAGCAAAAAAAAAGAUUUUUAAAAGCAAACCCCAAAAUUAAACAAUGAUUACAUGAUUAAAAAAAAUUUAAAACCAAAAAACAACCAAAAAUUAGUUUAUGGUUGUUUUUAAUGAAUCAAAGAGAUUGAAAAAUAGAAAAUCGAAAAUUGGGGUUUAGAAACCAAAGACUUAACUUCUUUUGAGAUAAAACCAAUUUUAUUUUAUUUUAAUUAUUAAUUUUUUUAUAAGAAAAAAUAUUUCUUAAUAUUAAAAAUAUCCUGUCAGCAAAAAAAUAACGGCAGUUGGAUUUCAGUUGACGGCAUUGCAUAAAUUGGGAAAACAUAAAAGUUUGCUGAUGAUUUUAAACCUAAUUUACUUGGUUGCAUAAGUUGGGAAUUCGACCCUACUUUGCUGCAUAACUCGACAGUUUAGCCAUAAAGAUUCUUCUUUUAAGCAUUAUUUCUUCGAAAACUUCUCACAGCAAUACAGUUGAUACAAAGAGGACUAUGAAUGCCACAUUUGUCUGCUCUUUGUAAUACCACGGGGGAGACUAUAGAGUGCAGACCUCUUCAGUGUAGCUUUGCAAGAAAGAUCUGGAAAAAAUUUUCAAGACAACUGGAGUUUACUUCAAAAUGUGCAAAAAGUGAAGAAAUGGAUUGCCAGCAGGUAUAAUCAAUUACGAGGUCAUCUGGUAAUUUUAUUAGGUCUCUUAAAUACUUUGUGAGGUGAGGAACCCAUCCCAUUGUCAGAAACGCACGAGCCGUUAUAUACAGAGAAAGAGUUACAGGAAAAGGCUACAUACCAGAUCAUCAUUAAAAUGUAGUGUGGAAAACAUCCGCAAGGUAUUCCACUGCAAUGUCCUUUCCAUUCAUGUAGCUGUCCAAUACCACAACUGGGUUUGAUCUUCAACAAGGACUUUGAAUAAUCGAAGUGCAUAUUUAGUAAAGCCCCUUCCCCAUGCAAUCCAAAUUCUGUCAUAUUCAUAGUUCUCAGUGCGCCCUAAAUCUAGCAAAAGACAUGUAGGAUUUACAUAUUAGAUGACUGCCUAUAAGCAUCCACGUCCCUAGAAACUAUAGGAUAUUGAAUAACAGAAGUAAAUACUCAACUGCAUAAAAGGUCCAUGUUUUCACUUUCGGUCUUUCAAUACUAAUGCUAUGCCAAAUAACAGGCAUACUCUGUUGUAAAACAGGUCCAUACAUUCCUUCAGUCCUGGAUAAUUAAUUGUCCCAAUUUUAUAGCAUACUUGAGGUUAUUGUGCAGCAUGGUUGUAAAGGGGAAUUGAGGAAGUAACAGACCUGUAGCAAUUUGUAGAAAAAUGCGGCUAGUAAAAUAUAGAAAACAAUGUAUGAAGACCAAAAGAAAACAAUCCACUUAAAAGUUUAAACCAAUAAAGUCCAACACUGAAUUAUCACCUGACAGAAUAACCCAUGAUAACAUUAGCCAUUCCAAUGCUCUCAUCUUUCCACAAUAUUCGACAUCGCUAUCACCCAUGACAUUUCUGCCCCCAACCAAAUUAAAGUCAA
RNAcentral lists this long non-coding RNA (3640 nucleotides) under Aquilegia coerulea. RNAcentral's name for it is "long non-coding RNA (ACOE_LNC001667)". Lineage: Eukaryota; Viridiplantae; Streptophyta; Magnoliopsida; Ranunculales; Ranunculaceae. The record is from RNAcentral.